RNAcentral lists this ribosomal RNA (466 nucleotides) under uncultured bacterium. RNAcentral describes it as "bacterial SSU rRNA". It matches the Rfam family "Bacterial small subunit ribosomal RNA", at positions 338 to 795 of the family's 1533-position model. The record is from RNAcentral.
CCUACGGGGCGCAGCAGUAGGGAAUCUUCCGCAAUGGACGAAAGUCUGACGGAGCAACGCCGCGUGAGUGAUGAAGGUUUUCGGAUCGUAAAGCUCUGUUGUUAGGGAAGAACAAGUGCCGUUCAAAUAGGGCGGCACCUUGACGGUACCUAACCAGAAAGCCACGGCUAACUACGUGCCAGCAGCCGCGGUAAUACGUAGGUGGCAAGCGCUGUCCGGAAUUAUUGGGCGUAAAGGGCUCGCAGGCGGUUUCUUAAGUCUGAUGUGAAAGCCCCCGGCUCAACCGGGGAGGGUCAUUGGAAACUGGGGAACUUGAGUGCAGAAGAGGAGAGUGGAAUUCCACGUGUAGCGGUGAAAUGCGUAGAGAUGUGGAGGAACACCAGUGGCGAAGGCGACUUUCUGGUCUGUAACUGACGCUGAUGUGCGAAAGCGUGGGGAUCAAACAGGAUUAGAUACCCCCGUAGUC